CAACACUUCCCAGGUGAUUUUCAUGGAAAUUCACCAAUAUAUGCCUGUAAAACAAGUCUUCCUUCGUAAACAAAAUAAUAAUAACAUAGAAAAAAAAAAAAAAAAUCUUUCCCGAAACCACCACAUGAGAACAUGUGAAUUUCAUGUUCCCACAUGUUAUCAAGGGUGGAAAAACUCCCACACUGCUCCCAUUUUUCUCCCUGAUGUGUACUUUACACAAGUUCCAAGAAGAAAUCCAAAAUUCUCCGUAUUAUUGCCACCUAAUUUCUAAUCAAUGCCAUCGCUGUGCAUAGUCCAAUGAAUUGAAAGCUGUUGGACCUGAAAAAUUCAAGCUCAAUUCUCCCCUCUAUAUGUAAUUAAAAAAAAAAAAAAAAAUUCUAAUCAAUGACGACUUUCUACCCUCAAUAGCUCUAGGAUUUGAUCGAUUGAUUUGAUUUCCGCCGUGGGACCAUGCUCUCAAUUCAUCUGCAUUGACCCAACCCAGAAAGAUGUUUCAUGC
Molecule: unclassified non-coding RNA, 499 nt
Filed under: Hevea brasiliensis (rubber tree)
Lineage: Eukaryota; Viridiplantae; Streptophyta; Magnoliopsida; Malpighiales; Euphorbiaceae
Source: RNAcentral